GAAAUGCGAUAAGUAAUGUGAAUUGCAGAAUUCAGUGAAUCAUCGAAUCUUUGAACGCACAUUGAGCCCGUCAGCAUUCUGGCGGGCAUGCCUGUUCGAGCGUCAUUUCAACCCUCAGGACCCCCCUUUCGCGGGGAGGGACCUGGCGUUGGGGAUCGGCCCGCCCCCCGUGGCGGCGCCGUCCCCGAAAUCUAGUGGCGGUCUCGCUGCAGCCUCCCCUGCGUAGUAGUUACAACCUCGCAUCGGAGCGCGGCGCGGCCACGCCGUAAAACCCCCGACUUUCUGAACGUUGACCUCGGAUCAGGUAGGAAUACCCGCUGAACUUAAGC
This 329-nucleotide unclassified non-coding RNA is filed under the name plant metagenome. Its description in RNAcentral is "partial contains 5.8S ribosomal RNA, internal transcribed spacer 2, and large subunit ribosomal RNA". The stretch from base 1 to 105 matches the Rfam family "5.8S ribosomal RNA", at positions 50 to 154 of the family's 154-position model. The record is from RNAcentral.